This 73-nucleotide non-coding RNA is filed under the name Elusimicrobiota bacterium. Its description in RNAcentral is "Elusimicrobia bacterium 50-dG-II sequence". It matches the Rfam family "2dG-II purine riboswitch aptamer". Rfam says of the family: Purine riboswitch variant that recognize 2'-deoxyguanosine Lineage: Bacteria; Pseudomonadati; Elusimicrobiota. The record is from RNAcentral.
UACCUUUGUAAUCCUUCGAUGAGGCGAAGGAGCAUCCACCCCCGGGCCUGUGAAUCCGGGGUGACCAGGGGAA